This is a long non-coding RNA of Cyprinus carpio carpio, 466 nucleotides long. Lineage: Eukaryota; Metazoa; Chordata; Actinopteri; Cypriniformes; Cyprinidae. The record is from Ensembl.
UUCGGCAACCUACAUCUCAGUGACCAAUCGUAUGUUCUACAGACUGUCAUGUGACACAAAGCCCCGCCCCAUUUGUGGAAUCAUUGAGAGCGCGAGUGGAACUACAGCGAUUCAGCGGUGACCGGCGCAGAUCCAACCAGCUGGAGGAUCCGGAGAGAUUUCUGAGGCGAUACGAACGCUCCUUACGUGGACUGGCUUCCUUUAUUUCUUCUUAAGAUUUUGAAGAAGAGGCUGUGCAGGACAGUAGAAGCUGUUGAAGUUUUGACUGUGGGUUUGUACUCUCCCUCUCACCCACGCUCUGUCUCCAAAAGCUGCAGAGGUUUCGCUGAGAUGGCAAAAACGCGUCGCGACGCAGGAACCGAUAUAAACUGUCAGCCUCCAAGAACACCAACACACGCACAUCUUGUCUUCAUUGGACCUCCAAACAACUCGGCUCAGCGUGGUGAAGGUUCUUCUUGAAGGUUCU